UGUCUGCUAUUUCAUUCAUACUCUCUUGUUGCACUCACAUUCUUUACUCACACUAACCGUCGUUCCAAUCGUUCUUUACUCACGCACGCUAACACUCUCGUUCCAAUCGUUCUUUACUCACGCAUGCUAACACUCUCGUUCCAAUGACAGUCUUCACUCUGUCGCUACAAACCCUAACUCUCUCGGGGUUUUCUCCGCCGGAAUCGCCUCCAUUCCGGUCCGGCUCAGCCACGCCGAUUCCCAUUUGCUCUCUUGACGGCUCCAUGGAACCUGUUGGAGAAGAGUUAAGUCUCGUAUCGGAGUUCUUGAAGGGAAGAUGAUUCGCUAAAUUCCAUUUAGAUUCCUUCAAUCAAUGUGAACGUGGAUUUGAAGAAGAUUGUAGAUGAUAAUGGAUUUAUCAAGUUAUCUAAGGAUGAGCGAUUCUUUUUGAGGGCAGAUGAUUCGCUAAAUUCCAUUUAGAUUCCUUCAGUCAAUCUGUGAACGUGGAUUUGAAGAAGAAUGUAGAUGAUAAUGGAUUUAUCAAGUUAUCUAAGGACGAGCGAUUCUUUUUGAGGUACACAGCUCCAAUCUUUGCUGAUAUCGAAUACUCUAAAGGAAUAAAAAAUGAAAUAUUGACAUUAAACCAGAAUCAAGUUGAAAUUGGAAGAAUGCCUAUUAUGUUGCGGAGUUGCUGUUGUGUCUUGUAUGAGAAACAAGAAGCUGAGCUUGCAAAACUUGGUGAGUGUCCUCUUGAUCCUGGAGGAUAUUUUAUUGUUGAAGGGGAAGAGACGGUUUUCUUAAUACAAAGAAGAGAAUUUUGACAAAGGGAUCACUGUAUCCUCAAAUGGAGAAGGAAAGUAAGCAAUUCUUUGUAUUACUGCGUCUGUUACAAGCAGCAGCACGAAGAUGAUGAAAACAAAAACUAUUAUCACAAUGCAUGAUAAGAAGUUGUGGAUACAGUUGGAUCAAUUAACUAAGAUUCCUCUUAUGGUUGUAAUGAAAGCUAUGUUAAAGUUAUGCAAAUGAUUCCGAGAUCCUUGUUAUGCUUCACUACUUGAGCCAUCCAAUGAGGUAAGGAUUUGGAUUUGGAUCUGCAUAGUUUCUUUAUAAUGGAGACAUAAUCACUCAUGGUCUUGACUGGAGUGGACUCUCAAGACUAGAAAUUUUAAGGUUAAAAGGUUCAAGAUGGAAAGGAAAGGAGUAACACAGAUGCCACAAAGAUCAUCGAAUGUGAGUGCUUUGGCCCACAUGACUAAAGUUUUUAAACAGUCUGAUAAGUCCAAAAACGUAAGUGGUGCUAAAGCUAUGCAAUAUAGCCAGUUAAUAUGCGUUCCGGUUGGGAACUUUCUUGAUAUAUCACUUUUAAUGGCAUUGUUUGAUCCUUGUAGCUGACGUAAAAUGGUUUGUUGUUAUUGUUGUUUUUGUAUUCUUAUGAUGCUUCAACCUCAUUUUGUAUUCUUCUUUAUUAUAGUUUGACAUGCUUUGUCCAUGUGAUAUUCGGGUGAAAGCAUAUGGAAUAGUAAGGAGUCUGGCUUUGAUGACUCAUGUCACUACUGAUGUAGAGAAAGACUUCUCAAUUAGCUACUGCUGUUUUUAUUGACUGUUUUUCUAAUCAUAUGUGUUUGGGUGUUUAAAUAUAAGAAAGGAUGUUUUGACACAAUUUUGCUAAGGCGCAUAAUGGAUGCUUAUCAGAAUAAGGAUGCAUUGGAUGACAAGUUUGGCAUGCUUGUCCAUGUGAUAUUCGGGUGAAAGCAUGUGGAGUAGUAAGGAGUCUCGCUUUGAUGACUCAUGUCACUACUGAUAAAGAGAAAGAUUGUUCAAUUGGUGUGGUAGGUUUUGGGUGAUAUCGUGAAAUCUUCCUUUGUGGUUUGUUAUUAUUAUUACCUUUUUGCUUUAGCUACUGCAGUUUUUAAUGACUGUUCGUCUAAUCAUAUGUGUUUGUGUGUUUAAAUAUGAGAAAUGAUGUUUUGACACAAUUUCGCUGAGGCGCAUAAUGGAUGCUUAUCAGAAUAAGGAUGCAUUGGAUGACAAGUUUGGCAUGCUUUGUCCAUGUGAUAUUCGGGUGAAAGCAUGUGGAGUAGUAAGGAGCCUGGCUUUGAUGACUCAUGUCACUACUGAUAUAGAGAAAGACUGUUCAUUUGGUGUGAUAUGUUUUGGAUAAUAUCGUGAAAUCUUCCUUUAUGGUUUGUUAUUAUUAUUACCUUUGUGCUUUAGCUACUGCAGUUUUUAAUGAUUGUUCAUCUAAUCAUAUAUGUUUGUGGGUUUAAAUAUGA
Molecule: long non-coding RNA, 2252 nt
Organism: Lathyrus oleraceus (garden pea)
Lineage: Eukaryota; Viridiplantae; Streptophyta; Magnoliopsida; Fabales; Fabaceae
Exons: 13
Source: RefSeq, a predicted model, not a curated record